Molecule: ribosomal RNA, 499 nt
Filed under: uncultured bacterium
Lineage: Bacteria
Description: partial 16S ribosomal RNA
Rfam family: Bacterial small subunit ribosomal RNA
Source: RNAcentral
AUUGAACGCUGGCGGCAUGCCUUACACAUGCAAGUCGAACGGUAACAGGUCUUCGGAUGCUGACGAGUGGCGAACGGGUGAGUAAUACAUCGGAACGUGCCUAGUAGUGGGGGAUAACUACUCGAAAGAGUGGCUAAUACCGCAUGAGAUCUACGGAUGAAAGCAGGGGAUCGCAAGACCUUGUGCUACUAGAGCGGCCGAUGGCAGAUUAGGUAGUUGGUGGGAUAAAAGCUUACCAAGCCGACGAUCUGUAGCGGGUCUGAGAGGACGAUCAGCCACACUGGGACUGAGACACGGCCCAGACUCCUACGGGAGGCAGCAGUGGGGAAUUUUGGACAAUGGGCGAAAGCCUGAUCCAGCAAUGCCGCGUGCAGGAUGAAGGCCUUCGGGUUGUAAACUGCUUUUGUACGGAACGAAAAGCCCUGGGUUAAUACCCUGGGGUCAUGACGGUACCGUAAGAAUAUGCACCGGCUAACUACGUGCCAGCAGCCGCCCGUAA